GAUGAACGCUGGCGGCGUGCCUAAUACAUGCAAGUCGAGCGAACAGACGAGGAGCUUGCUCCUCUGACGUUAGCGGCGGACGGGUGAGUAACACGUGGAUAACCUACCUAUAAGACUGGGAUAACUUCGGGAAACCGGAGCUAAUACCGGAUAAUAUAUUGAACCGCAUGGUUCAAUAGUGAAAGACGGUUUUGCUGUCACUUAUAGAUGGAUCCGCGCCGCAUUAGCUAGUUGGUAAGGUAACGGCUUACCAAGGCAACGAUGCGCAGCCGACCUGAGAGGGUGAUCGGCCACACUGGAACUGAGACACGGUCCAGACUCCUACGGGAGGCAGCAGUAGGGAAUCUUCCGCAAUGGGCGAAAGCCUGACGGAGCAACGCCGCGUGAGUGAUGAAGGUCUUCGGAUCGUAAAACUCUGUUAUUAGGGAAGAACAAAUGUGUAAGUAACUAUGCACGUCUUGACGGUACCUAAUCAGAAAGCCACGGCUAACUACGAG
Molecule: ribosomal RNA, 497 nt
Filed under: uncultured bacterium
Lineage: Bacteria
Description: partial 16S ribosomal RNA
Rfam family: Bacterial small subunit ribosomal RNA
Source: RNAcentral